Molecule: ribosomal RNA, 484 nt
Filed under: uncultured bacterium
Lineage: Bacteria
Description: bacterial SSU rRNA
Rfam family: Bacterial small subunit ribosomal RNA
Source: RNAcentral
GACGAACGCUGGCGGCGUGCUUAACACAUGCAAGUCGAGCGGUAAGGCCUCUUCGGGGGUACACGAGCGGCGAACGGGUGAGUAACACGUGAGUAAUCUGCCCUUCACUUCGGGAUAAGCUUCGGAAACGGGGUCUAAUACCGGAUACGACACUUUCAGGCAUCUGAUGAGUGUGGAAAGUUUUUUCGGUGGGGGAUGUGCUCGCGGCCUAUCAGCUUGUUGGUGGGGUAAUGGCCUACCAAGGCUUCGACGGGUAGCCGGCCUGAGAGGGUGACCGGCCACACUGGGACUGAGACACGGCCCAGACUCCUACGGGAGGCAGCAGUGGGGAAUAUUGGACAAUGGGCGGAAGCCUGAUCCAGCAACGCCGCGUGAGGGAUGACGGCCUUCGGGUUGUAAACCUCUUUCAGUACCGACGAAGCGAGAGUGACGGUAGGUACAGAAGAAGCACCGGCCAACUACGUGCCAGCCGCCGCAGUAAGAC